GCCGGGAUGGCGGAAUGGUAGACGCAGUGGACUCAAAAUCCACCGGGGGCAACUCCAUGGGAGUUCGAGUCUCCCUCCCGGCACCA
This 86-nucleotide transfer RNA is filed under the name Synergistaceae bacterium. RNAcentral describes it as "tRNA-Leu". It matches the Rfam family "tRNA". From Rfam's summary of the family: Transfer RNA (tRNA) molecules are approximately 80 nucleotides in length. Lineage: Bacteria; Thermotogati; Synergistota; Synergistia; Synergistales; Synergistaceae. The record is from RNAcentral.